ACUGCUCAGUAACACGUGGAUAACCUGCCCAAGGGUCUGGGAUAACCCCGGGAAACUGGGGAUAAUACCGGAUGGAUUACUAGUGCUGGAAUGCUUGGUGGUCGAAAGGCAACGCCUUUGGAUGGGUCUGCGGCGGAUUAGGUUGACGCCGGUGUAACGUACCGGCGUGCCUGUAAUCCGUACGGGUUGUGGGAGCAAGAGCCCGGAGAUGGAUUCUGAGACACGAAUCCAGGCCCUACGGGGCGCAGCAGGCGCGAAAACUCUACAAUGCAGGCAACUGCGAUAGGGGGACAUCGAGUGGCAUCCACCUUGGGUGCCUGUCCAACCGUCUAAAAAACGGUUGUUAGCAAGGGCCGGGUAAGACCGGUGCCAGCCGCCGCGGUAAUACCGGCGGCUCGAGUGGUGGCCGAUAUUAUUGAGUCUAAAGGGUCCGUAGCCGGCUUUGCAAGUCCCCUGGGAAAUCCAGCGGCUUAACCGUUGGGCUUUCAUGGGAUACUACAUUGCUUGGGACUGGGAGAGGUAGGAGGUACUCGGGGGGUAGGGGUGAAAUCCUGUAAUCCUCCGGGGACCACCGGUGGCGAAGGCGUCCUACCAGAACAGGUCCGACGGUGAGGGACGAAAGCUAGGGGCACGAACCGGAUUAGAUACCCGGGUAGUCCUAGCCGUAAACGAUGCCCGCUAGGUGUCACGACGGUCGUGAAUCGUCGUGGUGCCGUAGGGAAGCCGCGAAGCGGGCCACUUGGGAAGUACGGCCGCAAGGCUGAAACUUAAAGGAAUUGGCGGGGGAGCAC
This 791-nucleotide ribosomal RNA is filed under the name uncultured archaeon. RNAcentral describes it as "bacterial SSU rRNA". It matches the Rfam family "Archaeal small subunit ribosomal RNA", at positions 85 to 879 of the family's 1478-position model. The record is from RNAcentral.